GAUGAACGCUAGCGGCGGGCCUAAUACAUGCAAGUUGAACGGAAGUAAGUUUUCGGAUUUACUUUAGUGGCGCACGGGUGAGUAACGCGUACACAACGUACCUAUCACUGGGGAAUAGCCUUUGGAAACGAGGAGUAAUACCGCAUAAUAUAUUUGGGAGGCAUCUCUUGGAUAUUAAAACUACGGUGGUGAUAGAUCGGUGUGCGGCUGAUUAGCUAGUUGGUGAGGUAACGGCUCACCAAGGCGACGAUCAGUAGGGGGCGUGAGAGCGUGACCCCCCACACGGGUACUGAGACACGGACCCGAUUCCUACGGGAGGCAGCAGUAAGGAAUAUUGGUAAAUGGAGGGAACUCUGAACCAGCCACGCCGCGUGGACGAUGAAGGCCCUAUGGGUUGUAAAGUUCUUUAGUCUGGGACGAAAAAGGGAGAUUCAUCUUCAACUGACGGUACCAGAAGAAUAAGCACCGGCUAACUCCGUGCCAGCAGCCGCCGUA
Molecule: ribosomal RNA, 495 nt
Filed under: uncultured bacterium
Lineage: Bacteria
Description: bacterial SSU rRNA
Rfam family: Bacterial small subunit ribosomal RNA
Source: RNAcentral